This 293-nucleotide unclassified non-coding RNA is filed under the name uncultured Flavobacteriaceae bacterium. RNAcentral's name for it is "contains 16S-23S intergenic spacer region". Lineage: Bacteria; Pseudomonadati; Bacteroidota; Flavobacteriia; Flavobacteriales; Flavobacteriaceae. The record is from RNAcentral.
UGGACUACCGGGGUUUCUAAUCCUGUUCGCUACCCACGCUUUCGUCCAUCAGCGUCAAUCCAUUAGUAGUAACCUGCCUUCGCAAUUGGUAUUCCAUGUAAUCUCUAAGCAUUUCACCGCUACACUACAUAUUCUAGUUACUUCCUAAUAAUUCAAGUUUAACAGUAUCAAUGGCCGUUCCACCGUUGAGCGAUGGGCUUUCACCACUGACUUAUUAAACCGCCUACGGACCCUUUAAACCCAAUGAUUCCGGAUAACGCUUGGAUCCUCCGUAUUACCGCGGCUGCUGGCAC